GACGAACGCUGGCGGCGUGCCUAAUACAUGCAAGUAGAACGCUGAAGGAGGAGCUUGCUUCUCCGGAUGAGUUGCGAACGGGUGAGUAACGCGUAGGUAACCUGCCUGGUAGCGGGGGAUAACUAUUGGAAACGAUAGCUAAUACCGCAUAACAGUAGAUGUUGCAUGACAUUUGCUUAAAAGGUGCAAUUGCAUCACUACCAGAUGGACCUGCGUUGUAUUAGCUAGUCGGUGAGGUAACGGCUCACCAAGGCGACGAUACAUAGCCGACCUGAGAGGGUGAUCGGCCAAACUGGGACUGAGACACGGCCCAGACUCCUACGGGAGGCAGCAGUAGGGAAUCUUCGGCAAUGGACGGAAGUCUGACCGAGCAACGCCGCGUGAGUGAAGAAGGUUUUCGGAUCGUAAAGCUCUGUUGUAAGAGAAGAACGAGUGUGAGAGUGGAAAGUUCACACUGUGACGGUAUCUUACCAGAAAGGGACGGCUAACUACGUG
RNAcentral lists this ribosomal RNA (495 nucleotides) under uncultured bacterium. RNAcentral's name for it is "partial 16S ribosomal RNA". It matches the Rfam family "Bacterial small subunit ribosomal RNA", at positions 28 to 507 of the family's 1533-position model. The record is from RNAcentral.